AGGUAAGCUACUAAGAGCGAAUGGUGGAUGCCUUGACUGGUAAAGGCGAUGAAGGACGUACUAGACUGCGAUAAGCUACGGGGAGCUGUCAAGAAGCUUUGAUCCGUAGAUUUCCGAAUGGGGCAACCCAAUGUAUAGAGAUAUACAUUACCUAUAUAGGAGCGAACGAGGGGAAUUGAAACAUCUUAGUACCCUCAGGAAAAGAAAUCAAUAGAGAUUGCGUCAGUAGCGGCGAGCGAAAGCGCAAGAGGGCAAACCCAGUGCUUGCACUGGGGGUUGUAGGACUGCAAUGUGCAAGAGGUAAGUUUAGCAGAACAUUCUGGAAAGUAUAACCAUAGAGGGUGAUAGUCCCGUAUGCGAAAAACAAACCUUAGCUAGCAGUAUCCUGAGUAGGGCGGGACACGAGGAAUCCUGUCUGAAUCUGGGUCGACCACGAUCCAACCCUAAAUACUAAUACCAGAUCGAUAGUGCACAAGUACCGUGAGGGAAAGGUGAAAAGAACUGAGGUGAUCAGAGUGAAAUAGAACCUGAAACCAUUUGCUUACAAUCAUUCAGAGCCCUAUGUAGCAAUACAGGGUGAUGGACUGCCUUUUGCAUAAUGAGCCUGCGAGUUGUGGUGUCUGGCAAGGUUAAGCAAACGCGAAGCCGUAGCGAAAGCGAGUCUGAAUAGGGCGCUUAGUCAGAUGCUGCAGACCCGAAACGAAGUGAUCUAUCCAUGAGCAAGUUGAAGCUAGUGUAAGAACUAGUGGAGGACUGAACCCAUAGGCGUUGAAAAGCCCCGGGAUGACUUGUGGAUAGGGGUGAAAGGCCAAUCAAACUUCGUGAUAGCUGGUUCUCUCCGAAAUAUAUUUAGGUAUAGCGUUGUGUCGUAAUAUAAGGGGGUAGAGCACUGAAUGGGCUAGGGCAUACACCAAUGUACCAAACCCUAUCAAACUCCGAAUACCUUAUAUGUAAUCACAGCAGUCAGGCGGCGAGUGAUAAAAUCCGUCGUCAAGAGGGAAACAACCCAGACUACCAGCUAAGGUCCCUAAAUCUUACUUAAGUGGAAAACGAUGUGAAGUUACUUAAACAACCAGGAGGUUGGCUUAGAAGCAGCCAUCCUUUAAAGAAAGCGUAAUAGCUCACUGGUCUAGUGAUUUUGCGCGGAAAAUAUAACGGGGCUAAAGUAAGUACCGAAGCUGUAGACUUAGUUUACUAAGUGGUAGGAGAGCGUUCUAUUUGCGUCGAAGGUAUACCGGUAAGGAGUGCUGGAGCGAAUAGAAGUGAGCAUGCAGGCAUGAGUAGCGAUAAUUAAUGUGAGAAUCAUUAACGCCGUAAACCCAAGGUUUCCUACGCGAUGCUCGUCAUCGUAGGGUUAGUCGGGUCCUAAGUCGAGUCCGAAAGGGGUAGACGAUGGCAAAUUGGUUAAUAUUCCAAUACCAACAUUAGUGUGCGAUG
This 1437-nucleotide ribosomal RNA is filed under the name Campylobacter jejuni. RNAcentral describes it as "partial 23S ribosomal RNA". It matches the Rfam family "Bacterial large subunit ribosomal RNA", at positions 1 to 1462 of the family's 2925-position model. The record is from RNAcentral. Lineage: Bacteria; Pseudomonadati; Campylobacterota; Epsilonproteobacteria; Campylobacterales; Campylobacteraceae.